Molecule: ribosomal RNA, 233 nt
Filed under: uncultured bacterium
Lineage: Bacteria
Description: partial 16S ribosomal RNA
Rfam family: Bacterial small subunit ribosomal RNA
Source: RNAcentral
CGGACGGGUAAGUAAAGCAUAGGAAUCUACCCAGUAGUGGGGGAUAACGUGGAGAAAUUCACGCUAAUACCGCAUAUGUCCUACGGGACAAAGCAGGGGACCUUCGGGCCUUGCGCUAUUGGAUGAGCCUAUGUCGGAUUAGCUAGUUGGUAGGGUAAAAAGCCUACCAAGGCGACGAUCCGUAGCUGGUCUGAGAGGAUGAUCAGCCACACUGGAACUGAGACACGGUCCAG